Molecule: ribosomal RNA, 654 nt
Filed under: Triticum aestivum (bread wheat)
Lineage: Eukaryota; Viridiplantae; Streptophyta; Magnoliopsida; Poales; Poaceae
Description: partial small subunit ribosomal RNA
Source: RNAcentral
AUGGCCACCUCCACCUUCUCGCUCUUCUUCCCGCCGCUGCCCAGCAGCAAAGGCCAGUGGCCGUCGGUGGAGGAGGCUGCCUACUCGUACGACGACCACAGCACCGUCACCACCCUCUCUCCCUCCUCCCCGGCCUCCUCUGCUUCCUCGGGCUCACUCGUGGACUGCACGCUCUCCCUCGGCACGCCCUCCUCGCGCUGCCCAGAGCCGGACCGCAGGCCGCCGCCGCAGGCGUACCAGUCCGUGUCCGCCGCGGCCGACCCCUGCUACUACCACCAGCAGCAGGGCAGGAGCGGCGCCGCCGGCCACGAGCAGCUCCUGGACCGCCGCUGCGCCAACUGCGGCACCGCGUCCACGCCGCUCUGGAGGAACGGCCCUCGCGGACCCAAGUCGCUGUGCAACGCCUGCGGCAUAAGGUUCAAGAAGGAGGAGCGCCGCGCGGCGGAGACCAAUGCCGGCGGCGGGUGCGGCUACGUCGCGCAGCGGGCACCCAUGUCGGCCCCUCGCGCCGUGCCGUACGCGGAGGAGGCGCCGCUUCCUUACGCCGGCGCCGUCGACGCGCCGUUCCUGGCGUGGCGGCUGAACGGCGUCCCGCCGGCCCCGGCGUUCUCGGCGUGGCCCGACAGGCAGCACGGCGUGUACCAGUACAACUAG